UAUGGGAUCAAGAAUGAGUACUGGAAAGGAUGAUAUAAAGUCUUCGCCCACCUCCCGUUUUGUUUUGGCGAAUAGUGGUUGCAUGCGCUUUGUGCUUGCUCUGCGUUUGUGUCUUCCCUCGUCAGAGCGGCUGUAUUUGAAUAUUUCUCGCUAAAUGUACUGUCCUGUUGGUGUUGCGUCUCGUCAGCUUCGCGGUACGAGGACUACUCUGCAAACUACUUGAGGAAGAACCUUGGCGGUGCGCAUGUGGCGGCCCUUUCAGCUUGCAUCGCUCGAAAUGCCAAGAUGGGCAAAAAAGGCCGUUGGAGAAGCAAGCCAAAGAGUCGACCAAAACUACUUAACAAGGCCAGAAAGAUGGCUCGAGACUACCGAGAGAAGUGGUAUUGCCAGAGCGAAAGCAUCCAAGAGAAAGAGGCGUCUCGCUGCUUUACCACUAGGAGGAAGGUGCUCCUUAUACCCCACCGCCAUGACACAUGCUCACGUGCUGCGGUUGCCGUAAUUCGAGCCAAAUACUGGGACGAUGCUUUUCCUACUCGGCAUGAGGGCCGGAACAUGCUGAAGUGGAUGAGCGCAUCGAACUGCCAUUUUGUUGUGCUACCUAGAUACCCUUCCACCGAUCUUGGAAGUGCACACGUUGUGAAGUUGUGUGUGGCUGCAUGGUCCUGUUAUUGGAGAACAAGCAGCUGCGGCAUCCACUUGCUAGCUUGCCGUGUCACCGGUGCCGCUCCUGUCUAGUGAAGUUUCAUACGGCUGCUGUGUCAUCUCUGCAAACAACGCACCAACUUUGAGACCUUCAACUGCCUCCUGUGCGAGCAAGCAGACCGUCACGUGUUGUGUCAAGUGAGAUGCACGGUGUGUGGUAAUAGGUUGCAACACUAUAUCAUCCUGCAGAAGUUCUCUUGCAAGGGCACUCAAAAGGCUGACAUCUGCAAGCACCAGCAUGAGAGUGCUUAUGCGAAGCUUGCUUAUGCAAAGUGAAACUGGUGUUUUGCUCAAAAAGUGGUCGCUGUGCAGUGGGGUUUUGUGCCAGUGUUGUGCGCACCAAACCAUGUGGUCAGGUUCGUUUGUUCGAGGAAGUCAUUGCCGGAGACAGUCAAACUCAGACACUGCUGCCCCGGAAAGUCUGCUCAGAGUGCUGACACCAUGUAUGGCCCAAGCUCGUGCUGCCGGUGUUGAUGUGAGCAUUGGCAGUUCUUACGUAGCCGCCGUUUAUUGACAGCACUGUAAGUCUAAUUCUGCUGUCCCGCAUGUUCACCUUGCAUAUGGUUGGUUCAGUGGGCUUUUUGCACCAGUGUCCUAUUCUUCGUGGGACAUGGCAACGUCAUCUUUGAUUGCACGUGGUACGGGCGUAGUGUUUGCAACUUCGGCACCUUAUGAGCAAAGGGGUGCAGCCGUCACUUUUGCACCUAUGUCGCAGUGGAGCAGUGGUUAUAGUGCUUGGCAGCUUGCCCAAAAAUAAUGGGUUUUGAUCCUGGCUGUGGAACUCUAUAUUGAUGGAGGCGGCCCAUGUACUGUCCGAUGUCAGUGCUCGUUCAACGGCACCAGAUAGUCGCCUUCCUGUACAGCACAUCUCAUAAUCAUGUCAGUGGUGUACAGUUCAUUAUUGUUGAUUCAUUUCUGCAUUUAUAGUUCACUUCUGCAAGAUUCAUGUGAGAGUUAAUUCAGUAGAUGUUUGACAAUGCAUUUUGCACUUUCAGAGGAUGUGCAAGAGCCUCCUAAAUCUUUACGCUGGGCUACUAGAAAUUCAGAGUAUCUUUGCGCACCUUGGGUUUUGUUGUAGGCACUGUGUAGUGCUCGCAUAUUGAAGCACAAGAUAAUUCUUUUGGUAUAACAAGAGCUGUGAGCAGUUGCCCACGACAACUGUAAUCAUGUUGCUAUGAAUCUGGCCACUAAAGGUAAUAUUGGCUGUGAUAAAAGAAUUGGAAUUGAAAUAUUGCUGACUAGACACAGGGAACUUAAGGAGUCGGGAAAGGAAGUUUGUGCAUUACACAGCCCUGUAUUGUCGCUUUUCAAUCUGCGAGCACUGUUCAUGUGCUUUGGUGACCAGAGCCAUUAAAUAUGUAUGCAAGGGCUGUGAUGAAAAUGGUCAAGUAGGAGUUGCGCUGUGUGGUUCAUUUGUCCUGGCUUUCAUAUUGUUUAUAUUCCUCACAAAGGGGCGUAGAGCCACGUUAUUAACUUGGAGGGAUACUGAACAAAAGUUGGAAUAACUGGUAA
RNAcentral lists this long non-coding RNA (2214 nucleotides) under Rhipicephalus microplus (southern cattle tick). RNAcentral's name for it is "uncharacterized LOC119163145". Lineage: Eukaryota; Metazoa; Arthropoda; Arachnida; Ixodida; Ixodidae. The record is from RNAcentral.